GGUUAAGCGACUAAGCGUACACGGUGGAUGCCCUGGCAGUCAGAGGCGAUGAAGGACGUGCUAAUCUGCGAUAAGCGUCGGUAAGGUGAUAUGAACCGUUAUAACCGGCGAUUUCCGAAUGGGGAAACCCAGUGUGAUUCGUCACACUAUCAUUAACUGAAUCCAUAGGUUAAUGAGGCGAACCGGGGAACUGAAACAUCUAAGUACCCCGAGGAAAAGAAAUCAACCGAGAUUCCCCCAGUAGCGGCGAGCGAACGGGGAGGAGCCCAGAGCCUGAAUCAGUGUGUGUGUUAGUGGAAGCGUCUGGAAAGGCGCGCGAUACAGGGUGACAGCCCCGUACACAAAAAUGCACAUGCUGUGAGCUCGAUGAGUAGGGCGGGACACGUGGUAUCCUGUCUGAAUAUGGGGGACCAUCCUCCAAGGCUAAAUACUCCUGACUGACCGAUAGUGAACCAGUACCGUGAGGGAAAGGCGAAAAGAACCCCGGCGAGGGGAGUGAAAAAGAACCUGAAACCGUGUACGUACAAGCAGUGGGAGCCUCUUUAUGGGGUGACUGCGUACCUUUUGUAUAAUGGGUCAGCGACUUAUAUUCUGUAGCAAGGUUAACCGAAUAGGGGAGCCGAAGGGAAACCGAGUCUUAACUGGGCGUUAAGUUGCAGGGUAUAGACCCGAAACCCGGUGAUCUAGCCAUGGGCAGGUUGAAGGUUGGGUAACACUAACUGGAGGACCGAACCGACUAAUGUUGAAAAAUUAGCGGAUGACUUGUGGCUGGGGGUGAAAGGCCAAUCAAACCGGGAGAUAGCUGGUUCUCCCCGAAAGCUAUUUAGGUAGCGCCUCGUGAAUUCAUCUCCGGGGUAGAGCACUGUUUCGGCAAGGGGGUCAUCCCGACUUACCAACCCGAUGCAAACUGCGAAUACCGGAGAAUGUUAUCACGGGAGACACACGGCGGGUGCUAACGUCCGUCGUGAAGAGGGAAACAACCCAGACCGCCAGCUAAGGUCCCAAAGUCAUGGUUAAGUGGGAAACGAUGUGGGAAGGCCCAGACAGCCAGGAUGUUGGCUUAGAAGCAGCCAUCAUUUAAAGAAAGCGUAAUAGCUCACUGGUCGAGUCGGCCUGCGCGGAAGAUGUAACGGGGCUAAACCAUGCACCGAAGCUGCGGCAGCGACACUAUGUGUUGUUGGGUAGGGGAGCGUUCUGUAAGCCUGUGAAGGUGUGCUGUGAGGCAUGCUGGAGGUAUCAGAAGUGCGAAUGCUGACAUAAGUAACGAUAAAGCGGGUGAAAAGCCCGCUCGCCGGAAGACCAAGGGUUCCUGUCCAACGUUAAUCGGGGCAGGGUGAGUCGACCCCUAAGGCGAGGCCGAAAGGCGUAGUCGAUGGGAAACAGGUUAAUAUUCCUGUACUUGGUGUUACUGCGAAGGGGGACGGAGAAGGCUAUGUUGGCCGGGCGACGGUUGUCCCGGUUUAAGCGUGUAGGCUGGUUUUCCAGGCAAAUCCGGAAAAUCAAGGCUGAGGCGUGAUGACGAGGCACUACGGUGCUGAAGCAACAAAUGCCCUGCUUCCAGGAAAAGCCUCUAAGCAUCAGGUAACAUCAAAUCGUACCCCAAACCGACACAGGUGGUCAGGUAGAGAAUACCAAGGCGCUUGAGAGAACUCGGGUGAAGGAACUAGGCAAAAUGGUGCCGUAACUUCGGGAGAAGGCACGCUGAUAUGUAGGUGAAGUCCCUCGCGGAUGGAGCUGAAAUCAGUCGAAGAUACCAGCUGGCUGCAACUGUUUAUUAAAAACACAGCACUGUGCAAACACGAAAGUGGACGUAUACGGUGUGACGCCUGCCCGGUGCCGGAAGGUUAAUUGAUGGGGUCAGCGCAAGCGAAGCUCUUGAUCGAAGCCCCGGUAAACGGCGGCCGUAACUAUAACGGUCCUAAGGUAGCGAAAUUCCUUGUCGGGUAAGUUCCGACCUGCACGAAUGGCGUAAUGAUGGCCAGGCUGUCUCCACCCGAGACUCAGUGAAAUUGAACUCGCUGUGAAGAUGCAGUGUACCCGCGGCAAGACGGAAAGACCCCGUGAACCUUUACUAUAGCUUGACACUGAACAUUGAGCCUUGAUGUGUAGGAUAGGUGGGAGGCUUUGAAGUGUGGACGCCAGUCUGCAUGGAGCCGACCUUGAAAUACCACCCUUUAAUGUUUGAUGUUCUAACGUUGACCCGUAAUCCGGGUUGCGGACAGUGUCUGGUGGGUAGUUUGACUGGGGCGGUCUCCUCCUAAAGAGUAACGGAGGAGCACGAAGGUUGGCUAAUCCUGGUCGGACAUCAGGAGGUUAGUGCAAUGGCAUAAGCCAGCUUGACUGCGAGCGUGACGGCGCGAGCAGGUGCGAAAGCAGGUCAUAGUGAUCCGGUGGUUCUGAAUGGAAGGGCCAUCGCUCAACGGAUAAAAGGUACUCCGGGGAUAACAGGCUGAUACCGCCCAAGAGUUCAUAUCGACGGCGGUGUUUGGCACCUCGAUGUCGGCUCAUCACAUCCUGGGGCUGAAGUAGGUCCCAAGGGUAUGGCUGUUCGCCAUUUAAAGUGGUACGCGAGCUGGGUUUAGAACGUCGUGAGACAGUUCGGUCCCUAUCUGCCGUGGGCGCUGGAGAACUGAGGGGGCUGCUCCUAGUACGAGAGGACCGGAGUGGACGCAUCACUGGUGUUCGGGUUGUCAUGCCAAUGGCACUGCCCGGUAGCUAAAUGCGGAAGAGAUAAGUGCUGAAAGCAUCUAAGCACGAAACUUGCCCCGAGAUGAGUUCUCCCUGACUCCUUGAGAGUCCUGAAGGAACGUUGAAGACGACGACGUUGAUAGGCCGGGUGUGUAAGCGCAGCGAUGCGUUGAGCUAACCGGUACUAAUGAACCGUGAGGCUUAACCUU
This 2897-nucleotide ribosomal RNA is filed under the name Escherichia coli. RNAcentral describes it as "23S ribosomal RNA". It matches the Rfam family "Bacterial large subunit ribosomal RNA". The record is from RNAcentral. Lineage: Bacteria; Pseudomonadati; Pseudomonadota; Gammaproteobacteria; Enterobacterales; Enterobacteriaceae.